RNAcentral lists this ribosomal RNA (272 nucleotides) under uncultured bacterium. Its description in RNAcentral is "partial 16S ribosomal RNA". It matches the Rfam family "Bacterial small subunit ribosomal RNA", at positions 523 to 796 of the family's 1533-position model. The record is from RNAcentral.
AUACGGAGGGUGCAAGCGUUAUUCGGAAUCACUGGGCGUAAAGGACGCGUAGGCGGGUUGGCAAGUCAGAUGUGAAAUCCUACAGCUUAGCUGUAGAACUGCAUUUGAAACUGCUAACCUAGAGUAUGGGAGGGGGAGAUGGAAUUAGUGGUGUAGGGGUAAAAUCCGUAGAUAUCACUAGGAAUAUCGAAAGCGAAGGCGAUCUCCUGGAACAUAACUGACGCUAAGGCGUGAAAGCGUGGAGCAAACAGGAUUAGAAACCCCAGUAGUCC